CCGCCCACAAGGGACAGCUUCGGCCCUCAGCUCAUUGCCUUGAGUGGUGCUGACCGUGUCCUUCAGAAGAAAAACAUCUCAGUUGCCAUGGAAUCCUUACCUCAUUCCCUUAAAUCAGAACUCCUUGCCCAGAUAAGUGGAAGUGACCAGUGGAAAAGAUUUUUCAGGUAAGGGAGACAGUGCAUGAAUGCAACAAGGAAUUCUGGGAGCAGCUAGAAACUUAACUUAUCAGUUGCUGGAAGGAAUGUAAGACUGCUUGAGAUUCUUGGUUGUGGGACUUCAGGACUAAGAGUGAGAGAGGCAGUUCUCUUGUUUGGGGAACUUCAAAGCCAUGCUGUGCUAUAAAGAAUUGUGAAAUCAUUUCACCGGAAUGAUUUUCCUGGAAAAUAUCCUGGCCUGAUUUCUUUUUACUGUACCCCAAAUUUAGGAGGGGGGGCGGAAAUCCCCUUUCUCAAGAAGGUAGACUAUUGGAAAAGAAAGAAAAAAUGUUUUACUUAUAGGAGACAUUUAUUUACUAAGGUAUUUUCCUUAGCCCUGAGCAGAAUAAGAUUUUCUCUUGGCUUGAAUUUAAAUGCAGUGUAUGUUGUCAUAUUUCCUACUAGUUGAAGGUGUUUUUCUGUUUUUUGUUUUAUUUUUAAUCUGACAGGAGGAUAGGGAGGGAAGCUAUUCACCAGUGGCUAUUUGAAGUUUAGUGAUUGCCCAGAAAGGAAAAAAAACAAAACAAAACAACCCACAACAAAAUACUCUAAUGUUAUUUUUGAGCAGUGAAUAUUUUUCACUCUGCUAAGAAAUUACUGCAAUUUGACACAUGAAAUCUAAGGCAUAGAUAAGUGUGAUCUUGAAAAAUUGUCUUUUGUUGGCUUGAUGGUAACAAAAAAUAGUCAUGUCGAUGCUGGAAGUAUUUCCCCAUGGUUUAGUGAAAAUGCAUCCUGUGAAGCAGAAAACCUUACACCACUUUCUCCACACUGUUACAACAGGAAAGUGGGGCUGACUGCUAGAAAUGAUGGGGGUGGCCAACCUGCCUGUCGGGUAAGGCAGAUCAUGGUUAUCACUUCUCGAAAGAAAAUUAUUUCAAAUGACUUCAAAUCUGAAGAUGAAUUACACGGUCUGACAUACUUAAAAUUCUGCCUUUUUAUGAAAGAUAUCAAAUUACCCAAUUAGUGUUCUUUUUCUGGUUUUAUUUUCAGGAAGAAUCCAUUUGUCCUCCAUGUAAUACUGAACACAUUUGAAUAACUAUAUAUGUGUGUGUGUGUGUGUGUGUGUGUGUGUGUGUGUGUGUAUUUAAGUUUUCACUUACCAAUGGACAUACUAAGUACAGAGGCGCCUGAGUGGCUCCGUCGGUUAAACAUCUGACUUCAGCUCAGGUCAUGAUCUCACGGUUUGGGGGUUCAAGCCCCGUGUUGGGCUCUGUGCUGACAACUCAGAGCCUGGAGCCUGCUUCGGAUUCUAUGUGUCUCUCUCUCUCUCUCUCUGCCCCUCCCCAGCUCACGCUCUGUCUCUCUCUCUCCUUCAAAAAUAAAUAAACAAUUUAAAAAAAUUUGUAAGGAAAUACUAAGUACAAAUCUCUGAAUGUAACUUCUGCCUUUGAUAACUCUCCCAUGCAAAUUACUGAUGUUCAGGGUCACUGUAUACACUGGCAUUCUCCAGAGGUGACAUAAUAAUGAUUUUUGAUCCUGCACCCCUGGACCUCAGAGCUGAAGUGAAUGAUGAGGAACCAACUUUGAGGAUGGUCUCUCUGCAUCCUGGAUCUGAAGGUAAAGGACACAACAUCCCCUUUUAGACUUGCAGAACUUUGAUGACAGCGUAGUUAUGCGUGUGCGUGUGGUGAGAAGGGGUGUUUCUAUCUAGUUUUUUUUUUCCUAUCGCUAAGAAAUUUGGUGUUAUUUUAUUUUUAAUUUUUUUUAUUUGAGUUUAGUUGACACACAAUGUUGCAUUAGUUUCAGGUGUACAACAUAGUGAUUCAACUCCUCUUAUAGGUUGUGCUGUGCUCACCAGAAGCAUAUCUACCGUGUGUCACAGUAAAACAUGAUUACAAUAUCAUUGCCCAUGUUUCCUAUGCUGUGCCUUUUAUUCCUGUGACUUAUUCAUUCCAUAACUGGACCCCUGGGUCUCCCCCUCCCCUUCACCCAUUUUGCCCAUCCCCCCACGGCCUCCCCUCUGGCCACCAUUAGUUUGUUCUCGAUAUUUAUAGGUCUGAUUCUGCUUUUUGUUCGUUGAUUCGUUUGUUUUGUUGUUUAGAUUCCACAUAUGGCAGCCUGAGUGUCCACUGAUAGACAAACGGAGAAGGAAGAUGGGGUAUACACACACACACACACCCCCUGGGAUAUUGCGUGCCAUGGCAAAGGACAAACUGCUGCCAUUUCUGACACCAUGGGUGGACUUAGGAAGUAUUACACUAAAUGAAAUAAAUCAGACCAAAAGAGAUAAAUUUUUGUCCAGUUUUCCUGCACAGAGCCAGUUCUUGGGAAAGUAAGCUCCCCACAGUGCCGGUUGGAGCCUGGCUUGGCGAGAAAGGAAGCACUGAAUGAGUAUGUUCCUGUGACACGGGCCCGAAAAGCAGACAGCUGAAUCCUGUCUUGGCUCCUUGAACAGUGCUCUAAACUCCUGGCAACCCUCAAGCAUCAGAAUGAAAACAUCUCACGAACUGCUCUUCUGUUCUUUGCCGUAUUAUCGACUCCAUUCCGUUUGGAAAUAAUGUCAGAAAAUCUCAAGCCUUUCCACUUCCUGUUAGAUGAACUUAGCAAGUGUCCCUAAGCAAUGGAAGAAACAGUCUCCAGAAAGCUGCUGGGUUGUGAGUAGAGAGCCGGUCGGGGGCCAUGUGUAUGAUGAUGGGGCAUUAUCGAGUUGUUGGGUUUCGUUUUCUGAGACAGAAAGAGGAGUAGAAACAGUCCAUUCAACUUUUGUAAUUUCAGAAAAAUACGUGAGAUAAAUGAAGCAAAAAGUUUUCAUGCGUUUCCUGUCCAUACUGUGAUCAGGGAAAAGUAACAUGACAGUCGUGAGAGGGAGAAAUCAGGAGAGGAGCACAAACAAAAAAGGAGUAAACACAGAUGCAGAGAAACACUCGGACCGGGACCCAGAAAGAAGAAGAUGGACACACACAAAAGUGGGGUUGCCAGAAUUUACUGCCCACAAAAAUAAACAAAAACUGGUUUCACUCUGUCCUGACAGUGAAAACACAGAUGUGACAGUCUUCUCUCUCCG
This 3201-nucleotide long non-coding RNA is filed under the name Lynx pardinus (Iberian lynx). Lineage: Eukaryota; Metazoa; Chordata; Mammalia; Carnivora; Felidae. The record is from RNAcentral.